CCCUAGCCCUGAUUGCAGCGGAAAUCCUUAAUUGUUUUUCUUUAAAACAAUUAAGAUUGAAGAGGAAAGCAGGAAAUAGC
RNAcentral lists this small RNA (80 nucleotides) under Flavobacterium noncentrifugens. Its description in RNAcentral is "Flavo-1 RNA". It matches the Rfam family "Flavo-1 RNA". Lineage: Bacteria; Pseudomonadati; Bacteroidota; Flavobacteriia; Flavobacteriales; Flavobacteriaceae. The record is from Rfam by way of RNAcentral.